CUACCUGAUUCAGCGGCGGACGGGUGAGUAAUGCCUAGGAAUCUGCCCGAUAGUGGGGGACAACGUUUCGAAAGGAACGCUAAUACCGCAUACGUCCUACGGGAGAAAGUGGGGGAUCUUCGGACCUCACGCUAUCGGAUGAGCCUAGGUCGGAUUAGCUAGUUGGUGAGGUAAUGGCUCACCAAGGCGACGAUCCGUAACUGGUCUGAGAGGAUGAUCAGUCACACUGGAACUGAGACACGGUCCAGACUCCUACGGGAGGCAGCAGUGGGGAAUAUUGGACAAUGGGCGAAAGCCUGAUCCAGCCAUGCCGCGUGUGUGAAGAAGGUCUUCGGAUUGUAAAGCACUUUAAGUUGGGAGGAAGGGCAGUAAGCUAAUACCUUGCUGUUUUGACGUUACCAACAGAAUAAGCACCGGCUAACUUCGUGCCAGCAGCCGCGGUAAUACGAAGGGUGCAAGCGUUAAUCGGAAUUACUGGGCGUAAAGCGCGCGUAGGUGGUUCAGCAAGUUGGAUGUGAAAUCCCCGGGCUCAACCUGGGAACUGCAUCCAAAACUACUGAGCUAGAGUACGGUAGAGGGUGGUGGAAUUUCCUGUGUAGC
This 600-nucleotide ribosomal RNA is filed under the name uncultured bacterium. RNAcentral's name for it is "bacterial SSU rRNA". It matches the Rfam family "Bacterial small subunit ribosomal RNA", at positions 83 to 679 of the family's 1533-position model. The record is from RNAcentral.